GAUGAACGCUGGCGGCGUGCCUAAUACAUGCAAGUCGAGCGAACAGACGAGGAGCUUGCUCCUCUGACGUUAGCGGCGGACGGGUGAGUAACACGUGGAUAACCUACCUAUAAGACUGGGAUAACUUCGGGAAACCGGAGCUAAUACCGGAUAAUAUAUUGAACCGCAUGGUUCAAUAGUGAAAGACGGUUUUGCUGUCACUUAUAGAUGGAUCCGCGCCGCAUUAGCUAGUUGGUAAGGUAACGGCUUACCAAGGCAACGAUGCGUAGCCGACCUGAGAGGGUGAUCGGCCACAUGGGAGCUGAGACACGGUCCAGACUCCUACGGGAGGCAGCAGUAGGGAAUCUUCCGCAAUGGGCGAAAGCUUGACGGAGCAACGCCGCGUGAGUGAUGAAGGUCUUCGGAGCGUAAAACUCUGUUAUUAGGGAAGAACAAAUGUGUAAGUAACUAUGCACGUCUUGACGGUACCUAAUCAGAAAGCCACGGCUAACUACGUG
This 497-nucleotide ribosomal RNA is filed under the name uncultured bacterium. RNAcentral's name for it is "partial 16S ribosomal RNA". It matches the Rfam family "Bacterial small subunit ribosomal RNA", at positions 28 to 507 of the family's 1533-position model. The record is from RNAcentral.